UAUUCUGCCCCACGGGGAAGGAUGAGAAGCUUCGANNCGAAGCGAGAGAACGUUGCCGCUGGCAAUGGCCCGAAGGCGAGGCGCUUUAGCGCCGAGUAAUCCUUCCCCCACCACUG
RNAcentral lists this small RNA (116 nucleotides) under Klebsiella pneumoniae. Its description in RNAcentral is "RtT sRNA". It matches the Rfam family "RtT RNA". From Rfam's summary of the family: This family represents a bacterial cis-regulatory element known as RtT RNA. The exact function of RtT is unknown although it is thought that it may be involved in changing the cellular response in relation to amino acid starvation. The record is from RNAcentral. Lineage: Bacteria; Pseudomonadati; Pseudomonadota; Gammaproteobacteria; Enterobacterales; Enterobacteriaceae.